Molecule: transfer-messenger RNA, 335 nt
Filed under: Chaetoceros muelleri
Lineage: Eukaryota; Bacillariophyta; Thalassiosirophyceae; Chaetocerotales; Chaetocerotaceae
Description: Chaetoceros muellerii ssra
Rfam family: transfer-messenger RNA
About the family: Bacterial tmRNA, also known as 10Sa RNA or SsrA, is named for its dual tRNA and mRNA-like properties. Its role is to liberate the mRNA from a stalled ribosome. To accomplish this part of the tmRNA is used as a reading frame that ends in a translation stop signal.
Source: RNAcentral
GGGACUGAUUUGGUUUUGACAUUUAAACAUUAAGUAAAGUAUGAAGCAGGUCGAAGUAGGCUAUUCUUCGUAAAAAAUAUACCACAUUAUAAUAAAUGCUAAUAAUAUAAUUUCUUUUAAUUCUAAACAGAUCAAUAAAAAUUUAAUAAAUUCUUUAAGUUUUGCUGUUUAAUUUAUCUUUUGCUUUGUUAAUAUAAUUGACUCACUAUAACUAGACUUUUCUUUUUUUUAUAGUUUAGAAUAUACUUUAUGUAUCGUUCAUUUUUGAACUAUACCUGUGAAUGAGUACUUUAAUAAAAUUUAAAUGGACGUGGGUUCGAUUCCCAUCAGUUCCA